This 17-nucleotide small RNA is filed under the name Arabidopsis thaliana (thale cress). RNAcentral's name for it is "ATSL175740". The record is from RNAcentral. Lineage: Eukaryota; Viridiplantae; Streptophyta; Magnoliopsida; Brassicales; Brassicaceae.
CAAGAAGAAGAAUCUGA